UGCUCAAUGAAUUUUCAAUAGCCGCAAUACUGUGCUAAGGUAGCAUAAUCAUUUGCCUGAUAAUUUCAGGAUAGAAUGAAUGGUCUAACAUGAGAUCAUCUUUAUUAUUUUAAUUAAAUUAACUUAAUCUAUGAGUAAAAAAACUCAUAUUUAUUAGAAGGACGACAAGACCCUGUUAAACUUUACUUUUUAGUUUCACUGGGGCGGUAAAAAACUAAAUCUUUUUUUUUUUAUUUUUCUAAUCCUUACUUUUGAUAAAUAAGUUACUACAGGGAUAACAGCAUAAUUUUUUUUUAAAGACCGUAUUUAAAAAAGAGAUUGUGACCUCGAUGUUGAAUAAAUGAUCUCUUAAAAGCAAAAUUUUAAGAAGAAAGUCUGUUCGACUUUUAAAAUUUUACA
Molecule: ribosomal RNA, 399 nt
Filed under: Synothele arrakis
Lineage: Eukaryota; Metazoa; Arthropoda; Arachnida; Araneae; Barychelidae
Description: partial 16S ribosomal RNA
Rfam family: Bacterial large subunit ribosomal RNA
Source: RNAcentral